RNAcentral lists this ribosomal RNA (253 nucleotides) under uncultured bacterium. RNAcentral's name for it is "partial 16S ribosomal RNA". It matches the Rfam family "Bacterial small subunit ribosomal RNA", at positions 524 to 776 of the family's 1533-position model. The record is from RNAcentral.
UACGAAGGGGGCUAGCGUUGCUCGGAAUCACUGGGCGUAAAGCGCACGUCGGCGGACUUUUAAGUCAGGUGUGAAAUCCCGGGGCUCAACCUCGGAACUGCAUUUGAAACUGGAAGUCUUGAGACCAGGAGAGGUUAGCGGAAUACCGAGUGUAGAGGUGAAAUUCGUAGAUAUUCGGUGGAACACCAGUGGCGAAGGCGGCUAACUGGACUGGUACUGACGCUGAGGUGCGAAAGUGUGGGGAGCAAACAGG